RNAcentral lists this ribosomal RNA (253 nucleotides) under uncultured bacterium. RNAcentral describes it as "partial 16S ribosomal RNA". It matches the Rfam family "Bacterial small subunit ribosomal RNA", at positions 524 to 776 of the family's 1533-position model. The record is from RNAcentral.
UACAGAGACUGCAAGCGUUAUCCGGAUUCACUGGGCGUAAAGGGUGCGCAGGCGGUCGGGUGUGUCAGAUGUGAAAUCCCGAGGCUCAACCUCGGAACUGCGUCUGAAACUACUCGACUAGAGUACUGGAGAGGGUAACGGAAUUCACGGUGUAGCAGUGAAAUGCGUAGAUAUCGUGAGGAACACCAGAGGCGAAGGCGGUUACCUGGACAGUUACUGACGCUCAGGCACGAAAGCAUGGGGAGCAAAAGGG